RNAcentral lists this ribosomal RNA (253 nucleotides) under uncultured bacterium. RNAcentral's name for it is "partial 16S ribosomal RNA". It matches the Rfam family "Bacterial small subunit ribosomal RNA", at positions 524 to 776 of the family's 1533-position model. The record is from RNAcentral.
GACGUAGGGCGCGAGCGUUGUCCGGAUUUAUUGGGCGUAAAGAGCUCGUCGGCGGCUUGUCGCGUCGACUGUGAAAUCCCGCGGCUCAACUGCGGGUCUGCAGUCGAUACGGGCAGGCUAGAGUUCGGUAGGGGAGACUGGAAUUCCUGGUGUAGCGGUGAAAUGCGCAGAUAUCAGGAGGAACACCGGUGGCGAAGGCGGGUCUCUGGGCCGAUACUGACGCUGAGGAGCGAAAGCGUGGGGAGCGAACAGG